This 737-nucleotide long non-coding RNA is filed under the name Gossypium barbadense (sea-island cotton). Its description in RNAcentral is "long non-coding RNA (GBAR_LNC011316)". The record is from RNAcentral. Lineage: Eukaryota; Viridiplantae; Streptophyta; Magnoliopsida; Malvales; Malvaceae.
UAAUUCUUGAUCUGUAAUGACAAUAUGUACUCAUUUAGUCACUAAUUAGGAUUAAGCAAUCAUAUAUUUACAUCUUUGGUAAAUGACCAUUUUGCCCCUAGACUUUGGCAAAAUGAUCAUUUUACCCCUAUGCCGAAAAUUAAUUUUCAUCGAAUUUCGUUGUAUCUUAGGCCUAACCGAACUAUUUUUACUAUUAUAGCAACUUCAAAUUAUCACUAUUUCACAUACUUAUUAACUAUUUUACAACUUAUGCAAAAUAGCCCCUUUAGGAGUUUUCAUGCUAACACCUUUUACAAAAGUUGUUUAUAACACAACUAGGACUCAUAUUCCUCCAUAAAAACUCGAUAAAAAUCACAAAUCCUUUCCUGGAAACACUCUCAAAUCUUGACCAUUUUGCAAGAUAUCACCCUCAUUUGAAAACUCAUGCUUCAAGGGUCUUAAAAAUGCAAAAAUCAUCAACAAAGGGUGUGGGAAUCACUUACUUGUGAGGGCUUUUAGUUGAUGAAAAUUUUCAGCCUUCCAAACUCCAUUUUUUCUGAUAUUUUCGGUGGAGAAGAGAGAUGGAGAAGAAAGAAAUGAUAGCUAGGCGUUUAGGCAUUAUUUUAUCACUAAAUCAUGACAUCAUCCACCUAACCCUUUGACUAUUUGCUUAAAACCCAUCACAUGGCCGGCCAACACUAAUAAAAAGGGUGUAAUUGCCCUUUAAAAGCCCUCAAUUUAAGUUAUUUAGCUAUUUA